GACGAACGCUGGCGGCGUGCUUAACACAUGCAAGUCGAACGGAAAGGCCCUGCUUGCAGGGUACUCGAGUGGCGAACGGGUGAGUAACACGUGGGUGAUCUGCCCUGCACUUCGGGAUAAGCCUGGGAAACGGGGUCUAAUACCGGAAAGGCGUCAUUUUUAGUGUGAUGGUUGGAAAGUUUUUUCGGUGUAGGAUGAGCUUGCGGCCUAUCAGCUAGUUGGUGGGGUAAUGGCCUACCAAGGCGGCGACGGGUAGCUGGCCUGAGAGGGUGGACGGCCACACUGAGUCUGAGAGGAGGCCCAGGCGCCUAAGAGAGGCAGCAGUGGGGAAUCUUGCACAAUGGGCGCCAGCCGGGUGCAGAGAGGCCGCGGAGGGGAUAACGGUCUUCGGGUUGUAAACUCCUUUCGCUAGGGACGAAGCUUUUUGUGACGGUACCUAGAGAAGAAGCACCGGCUAACUACGUG
RNAcentral lists this ribosomal RNA (465 nucleotides) under uncultured bacterium. RNAcentral's name for it is "partial 16S ribosomal RNA". It matches the Rfam family "Bacterial small subunit ribosomal RNA", at positions 28 to 507 of the family's 1533-position model. The record is from RNAcentral.